CCCUUAGAUGUUCUGGGCCGCACGCGCGCUACACUGAUGCAUUCAACGAGCCUAUCCUUGACCGACAGGUCCGGGUAAUCUUUGAAUCUGCAUCGUGACGGGGAUAGAUUAUUGCAAUUAUUAAUCUUCUACGAGGAAUGCCUAGUAGGCGCAAGUCAUCAGCUUGCGUCGAUUACGUCCCUGCCCUUUGUACACACCGCCCGUCGCUCCUACCGAUUGGGUGUGCUGGUGAAAUGUUCGGAUCGGCCGUUUGUCGCGGUUUCCGCGUCAUGUGGCUGAGAAGUUCAUUAAACCCUCCCACCUAGAGGAAGGAGAAGUCGUAACA
RNAcentral lists this ribosomal RNA (325 nucleotides) under uncultured eukaryote. RNAcentral describes it as "partial 18S ribosomal RNA". It matches the Rfam family "Eukaryotic small subunit ribosomal RNA", at positions 1470 to 1796 of the family's 1831-position model. The record is from RNAcentral.